Non-coding RNA from Peromyscus maniculatus bairdii (prairie deer mouse), 1860 nucleotides. Lineage: Eukaryota; Metazoa; Chordata; Mammalia; Rodentia; Cricetidae. The record is from RefSeq and is a predicted model, not a curated record.
AAGCAUAUAGUUACCUAUAUGGAAAGUUAUCUUUCUUUCUUCCCGCUUCCAAGAGCACCUCUGAUGCUGAAUUGCUUCAGCAUGCGGGUGAGAAGAGAAAUAACCGAGUGAGGAAGUCCUUAGGAGAGCCAAGGCCACUGGGCUUUUGCUCUCAGGACAGAACAAGUAGUGUCCUUGUAGAGCUGUUCUUCCUGGCCCCCGGUCUGGGCAAUCAUCUGUUUACCUAGGGCCUUAUAUCCAAGCUAAACAAUUAUUUUGACUAUUCAUUAAGCCCUUGUUUAACUUCAGCAGCUUUAUUUUAUUUUUUUUUUCCUGGCAAAGGAAAGGUGCGGUGGAAGCCGGGAGGAAGCGUUGACAGCUCAAAGUCGUGUCCUCAGUCUGUUCUCAUUGUGUUCCAAAAGGAAGCAAACAGCAAGGGAAUUCUUAUUUUUGAAAGGUCUGCUGCUCUUUUGCUCCUACGGAGCUGAAAACAUAACAUGUCGUCCUUGGUCCUGAAGGCUGCCGACACAGGCAGAGAGGGCUGAGCUGAGUCAUUCCGGGAGCCAAGACCCAGAGACAGUCCCUGACCCUCCCAGGGGACCCGGCUCCGGAUGGACCUCUUGCCCACUUGGCCUCUCACACGGUGUCUGUUUAAUAAAAGCCUGUGCUAGGGAGCAGACGUCGAUGUGGCCUCUUAUGUAACUGGCAGGGAGGGUGGAGCCGGACAGUGAUGACAACUUACAGUGGCUGAAACACGGGCCAUAUGAGAAGAACCAGACUCCUGCCCCAUCGAGUGGGGCCAAGGUAUACAUCAAGAAAAAAAAAUAGUCUACCAAGUGUUUCUCGGGAGGAGAAGAUGGAUAUGGCAACCAGAAUUAAUGUUAUUAGGAAGAUCCAACCCAAAUCAGCAUUGCAAACCAGAAGCAUUGAAGAAAACCAUUUUCGGGCAUUGUUUGUUUUCACGUGCUUCUGGACUUCCUGAUUCUGGCCGGGAACAAGGUCAAGCUUGCCAAAAUACUACAAGAAAAGAUGUUGAUGAUCACGGAUAGGAAAUACUCCCGGUCCCAGGAGAUGGCCCAUUCUUAGGAGACUUCCACACCAAGUCUGCCGCCAUGAGAAGGCACAUCGGGCCACCACAUUCACUCUUGGUUCAGCACCAGGAAGCAUCGGAGGUUCUGCAUUCCAGACCUCUGUGGCAGCAGCUGGGAUCCUUUGAAGCGCCAAGUGUUGUUCAUUUGUUUUGUUUGUUUUUCGGAAAGGAAACAGAUGGAAAAAAACCAGACUUGGUAGGGAAGUGGUGGAAUCCAUCAUAUUAUAUCCACGUUAUAGAACAUCGUGUUGUUAUUAAAAACAGUAACUGAUAUUUCCGUAGUAAUAGCUAUUGCUUACUGUGCCUUCAAGUUGUGAGCUGGGUAGUGUUUGAAGUAUUUUCCACGAAUGAGCUCAUUUAAUUCCUUAAUAACUCCCUCAGAUAAAUACUAAUCUCAGGACCGUGCCGCGAGAGACAGAGAUGGGAAAUUUCUUUGCCCGUGGGUAGCGAGCAUGAAGCCAGAUGUGAAACCAAAGGGACUAGACUGGCAGCUUGUGCCUUUAGCUAAUGGGAACAAUCCCUGUUCAGAGACGCCUUGACCUGAAGUGAGAGCUGAGAGUCAUUGUUAAAGAAGGUUGAGAUAAUAUAGUAUGCAAAAACUGUAUCUCAAAAGAACUAGCUUAACGGGCCUGAAGAGAUGCUUAUUACCUGUGCUCUUAUCCAUUCUGGGCUUAGUUAAAUCUCAUGUUUUGUUCGGUAGGAACAGUAAGAUCUGCCUUUCUACCUCAUAGGAGGUAGAAAUCAAGUGAACUUGCACAGAUUAAAUGCUUUUCCAAUGAUUUCACAAUAAA